UGCAAGCCACCUUCUUUAUGAAGUGGCCUUCGAUAAAGGCCAAGUAUGCCAAUUCCGUGGGCGGAUGCAA
This 70-nucleotide transfer RNA is filed under the name Boodlea composita. RNAcentral describes it as "tRNA-Ile". The record is from RNAcentral. Lineage: Eukaryota; Viridiplantae; Chlorophyta; Ulvophyceae; Cladophorales; Boodleaceae.